UUGAGUCACUGAUCACUCCUUCAACCAGUAAUGGAUAUGUGAAUGAAGAAAGCGUCUUGGAGACUUAUAUUGUCCUCUUAAAGCAACCAGAAGGAGAAUUGUUCACAGAGUCCAAAGAUUUAGAAAGCUGGUAUCGAUCAUUUUUGCCAGCUGACACUUUAAACUCAAACCAACCACGUUUGCUUCACUGCUAUCGCCAUGUGGUUACUGGGUUUGCUGCAAAACUUACAGCAGAUGAAGCAAAGGCAAUGGAAAUGAGGGAAGAGUUGCUGUUAGCCCGGCCUCAGAGGAUGGUGCCUCUACACACGACCCACACACCAAGCUUUUUGGGUCUGCAGCAAAAUUUAGGAUUUUGGAAAUCUUCGAAUUACGGCGAAGGAGUGAUUAUUGGAGUAGUGGACAGUGGAAUAGCGCCUGAUCACCCUUCAUUUAGAGGUAAAGGAAUGCCUCCUCCGCCAGCAAAAUGGAAAGGGAAAUGUGAGUUCAAUGCAACACUGUGCAACAACAAGCUUAUUGGUUUGAGAAAAUUCGACGCCACCAGUAAUGACAUGUUGGACAGGGA
Molecule: unclassified non-coding RNA, 562 nt
Filed under: Hevea brasiliensis (rubber tree)
Lineage: Eukaryota; Viridiplantae; Streptophyta; Magnoliopsida; Malpighiales; Euphorbiaceae
Source: RNAcentral